RNAcentral lists this ribosomal RNA (301 nucleotides) under uncultured bacterium. RNAcentral's name for it is "partial 16S ribosomal RNA". It matches the Rfam family "Bacterial small subunit ribosomal RNA", at positions 509 to 807 of the family's 1533-position model. The record is from RNAcentral.
CAGCCGCCGCGGGAAUACAGAGGGUGCAAGCGUUAAUCGGAAUUACUGGGCGUAAAGCGCGCGUAGGUGGUUUGUUAAGUUGAAUGUGAAAUCCCCGGGCUCAACCUGGGAACUGCAUCCAAAACUGGCAAGCUAGAGUAGGGCAGAGGGUGGUGGAAUUUCCUGUGUAGCGGUGAAAUGCGUAGAUAUAGGAAGGAACACCAGUGGCGAAGGCGACCACCUGGGCUCAUACUGACACUGAGGUGCGAAAGCGUGGGGAGCAAACAGGAUUAGAUACCCCUGUAGUCCCUGUCUCUUAUAC